GAUGAACGCUGGCGGCGUGCCUAAUACAUGCAAGUCGAGCGAACGGACGAGAAGCUUGCUUCUCUGAUGUUAGCGGCGGACGGGUGAGUAACACGUGGAUAACCUACCUAUAAGACUGGGAUAACUUCGGGAAACCGGAGCUAAUACCGGAUAAUAUUUUGACCCGCAUGGUUCAAAAGUGAAAGACGGUCUUGCUGUCACUUAUAGAUGGAUCCGCGCUGCAUUAGCUAGUUGGUAAGGUAACGGCUUACCAAGGCAACGAUGCAUAGCCGACCUGAGAGGGUGAUCGGACACACUGGAACUGAGACACGGUCCAGACUCCUACGGGAGGCAGCCGUAGGGAAUCAUACGCAAUGGGCGAAAGCCUGACGGAGCAACACCACGUGAGUGAAGAAGGUCUUCGGAUCGUAAAACUCUGUUAUUAGGGAAGAACAUAUGUGUAAGUAACUGUGCACAUCUUGACGGUACCUAAUCAGAAAGCCACGGCUAACUACGUG
This 497-nucleotide ribosomal RNA is filed under the name uncultured bacterium. RNAcentral's name for it is "partial 16S ribosomal RNA". It matches the Rfam family "Bacterial small subunit ribosomal RNA", at positions 28 to 507 of the family's 1533-position model. The record is from RNAcentral.